Pseudogymnoascus sp. 23342-1-I1 is the source of this 101-nucleotide non-coding RNA. The record is from the annotation of a GenBank genome assembly. NCBI's taxonomy places the organism in Eukaryota, Fungi, Ascomycota, Leotiomycetes, Thelebolales, Thelebolaceae.
UCCCUCGUGGCGCAAUUGGCUAGCGCGUUCGACUGUUACUUGAUUCAUCUGAUGAUUCGCAGACGAUCGAGAGGUUGGUGGUUCGAGCCCACCCGAGGGAG